UUAAUAAAAAAAAUUCGAACAAGCAUAAUAAAAUUACAAACAUCUAAAUAAAAUAUUGAAAUUUUCCUUAUUGACAUAAAUAUUUGAAAUAAACGUAAAAAGAGAGGAUUUUUUUUAAAAAUUCUACAUAAUUUGAUACUUAAACAAUUUAUUGUUGUAAAAUAAUUAAAAAGAAAACAAAUAUAGACAGACCAAAAAUAAAUAAAGAGAAAAAAACCC
Molecule: long non-coding RNA, 219 nt
Filed under: Salvia miltiorrhiza (redroot sage)
Lineage: Eukaryota; Viridiplantae; Streptophyta; Magnoliopsida; Lamiales; Lamiaceae
Description: long non-coding RNA (SMIL_LNC013771)
Source: RNAcentral